Molecule: long non-coding RNA, 718 nt
Organism: Poecilia latipinna (sailfin molly)
Lineage: Eukaryota; Metazoa; Chordata; Actinopteri; Cyprinodontiformes; Poeciliidae
Exons: 3
Source: RefSeq, a predicted model, not a curated record
CGUGCACAAGCUUUGAUCCAAGCAAGGCAUUUCUUAUCAGAUUUUGGAAAUCUGUGAAUUUUAGUUCCACAAAUACUAUCAGGAUACCUGACAUCGCCUGUACAGAUACCCCACCUACAGUGGAGAACUAUUCUUUUUCGAGUCCUGACACAAAAACUUUCUGCCGGUCUGCUAGUCCACAAUGUACAUUAGCAUGUGUUUACUACUGUAGCUUGUGUUUGUGAGACGGUCACGUAUGUGGUAGCUGCGCUGUGACGUGAAAUGGGCAUUAGCCAAUUAAACGCGGCCCCUAUGGUAAGGUCCAUAGACAUUGUAGAUUCACACUGAAAGCAUCAAAGCUAUGAAUUAACACGUGGAAAUAUGUACUAAACAAAAAAGUGUAAAACAACUGAAAAUAGUCCUUAUAUUCUAGUUUCUUCAAAGUAGCAAUCUUUUGCUGUGAUUACUGCUUUGCACAUUCUCUUGAUGAGUUUCAAGAGGUAGUCACCUGAAAUGGUUUUCACUUCACAGGUGUGCCCUGUCAGGUUAAUAAGUGGGAUUUCUUGCCUUAUAAAUGGGGUUGGGACCAUCAGUUGUGUUGUGCAGAAGUCAGGUGGACACACAGCUGAUAGUCCUACUGAAUAGAGUGUUAGAAUUUGUAUUAUGGCAAGACAAAAGCAGCUAAGUAAAGAAAAACGAGUGGCCAUCAUUACUUUAAGAAAUGAAGGUCAGUCAGUCC